Molecule: long non-coding RNA, 413 nt
Organism: Vidua macroura (Pin-tailed whydah)
Lineage: Eukaryota; Metazoa; Chordata; Aves; Passeriformes; Viduidae
Exons: 3
Source: RefSeq, a predicted model, not a curated record
CAUCGAGAUGUGAAGAGCAGCAACAUCCUUCUCAGAACCGACGGCUCUGUCAAGCUGGCUGACUCUGGCCUCUUUGCUCAGCUCACCCCUGAGCAGAGUCGACGGAGCUCAGUGGCCAGCAUUUCUGGGUGGAUGGCGCCUGAAGUGGUGACAGGUCAACCAUGUGGCCCCAAAGUGGACAUAUGGUCUCUUGGAAUCGUGGGCAUCGAAAUGGUGGAAGGAGAAGUUCCUUACUGGAAUGAAACUCCUGUUUCGCACAUCAGCAUCUGCUGUCGAUUUGGUUGCAUCAGAAGGGAAGAGGAAGGUAACCAGUUCAGAAACCUAACCAGUUCAGAAACCUGCCAUUUUGGCCUCCAGCCAUGCCUGACAUUUUUCACUUGCUUUUUGAACAAUGUUGGAGCUCUGUCUCUGAA